UGUAGUUUAUUCAUGCCAAGUUCAACGGCCCUCUGAACUUAUCUACGAAAGCAGUUUCUGAACUCUAAGCUUGUGUGACUAUCGCUGAAGUGAUCUAUUGUGGUAACUCCUUUUGAAUCUCCCAGACCUGUUAGGACAGCAAGGACAAGUGCACGAUGGUGCGCCGAAGCAUCACGGUGAACAUGGUAAUGUCAGGUUGUUGAUGGAGCGAUACAAAUUGGUUUGAAGGCCGGGUACUACUACGCCGCCAAUAUUGCGCGCAAACAUUAUUGAGUACUGAUGGUGAGAUUUUCCAUUUCUUUAUCUUUUGUCCUUUUAAUCAAGAACAAUAUUGAGAUCUUACAUGGUUGUCCAAAUUUCGCAACAAGAAUAAGAAUGAGAGGCAUGUUACAGGUAGUUUUAUCCUGAGAAUUGGUCACCAUUCUGUAACCUUAAUACAAACAUAUAACUUGUGACAUAUCCAUGCAUAUAUGUGCUUUGCAAAUCGACUGACCUUUUUUUGUCUUCUGUGAAUAGAUGUUGAAUGACUUCCUAAUUUUUCUUUCAAUGGUGCAUAGUUCAACUUUUUCUUCAUUUGCUAUCUUUAGAUUCUUCAAAGCAAUUAAAUUUCUCAGUUGCACCUGAGAUAAACCUACAAUCUAGAGCACAUGGAAACCAUAGAUCAUUUUUUCGAUUGCUUAUGCAAAGUUAAGUAAUGGCUUUCAGAAGUAUUUAAACAUCAUUUCUUUUAUAUGGAUGUCUACCUUUCCAAAAGAAUUGAUAUUCUAUCUGGUGUAAUUCAUGAUCAAUUGAUGUAUCAAACAUAAUAUAGGACGCAAAAACAGAGUGUAUGAGCAUGCAGUAUAAUUGGUGAGACUAGGAGAAUGUACUGACAAGUGACUUCCUUGCGUGUCCUUGAUGCUGCUUCCUUGACUCACACAUUAGUUCUCUUAAUAUGUAUCAUACUCGAUUUGAUUGGCAGGCUUCAGGUAAUUUGUAUUCGUGUGGUAAGAAUCAAUUGCACCACUUUCUUGAUGCAAUCACAUCAAUGGACCUGACUGCUACAAAUUACAUCACGAACUAUGUGCUACUUUAUCAAUUGUAGUUUCUUUGUUCAGUUAGUUCUCUGAAACAAAACCACUUCAACUCUCGAUGUGUAUGUUUCUCGGCAAAAUUUGUUGUAAUACUAAUCUUCCAGAGAUUAUUGUAAUAAAUAACUAUAUUUAGUAUCU
Triticum urartu is the source of this 1211-nucleotide non-coding RNA. Lineage: Eukaryota; Viridiplantae; Streptophyta; Magnoliopsida; Poales; Poaceae. The record is from RefSeq and is a predicted model, not a curated record.